GGAGGUGAGGGCCAUCAGGCUGCUAGGCAGGUGUGCCCUUUCUCAUCACCACACCAAAAGCAUCCUUCCUGCAGCUGUGCACUCAGUGGAAGAGCACAAACCCCCGAAAGAGGAAGAUAUCUCCUUGGUCAUGAGUAUUCAAGUAGCUGCACUUCGCUGCUGGAACCUCCAAAGAAGCUCUCAAAUACGCACUCUGAAUUUCAACCCUGAACAUUACCACAGGUGAUUGGAUAUUGUCACGUUUU
Molecule: unclassified non-coding RNA, 245 nt
Organism: Fukomys damarensis (Damara mole-rat)
Lineage: Eukaryota; Metazoa; Chordata; Mammalia; Rodentia; Bathyergidae
Gene: 7SK
Rfam family: 7SK RNA
About the family: 7SK was discovered as an abundant small nuclear RNA in the mid-70s but a possible function has only recently been suggested.
Source: Ensembl